UCUAGACGAUAACCCCGUUAACCUCACCACUUCUUGUUUUCCCCGCCUAUAUACCGCCGUCGUCAGCUUACCCUGUGAAGGCCUAGCAGUAAGCAAAGUGGGCUCGCCCCAU
Molecule: ribosomal RNA, 112 nt
Filed under: Pangasius bocourti
Lineage: Eukaryota; Metazoa; Chordata; Actinopteri; Siluriformes; Pangasiidae
Description: partial 12S ribosomal RNA
Source: RNAcentral